Molecule: small nuclear RNA, 99 nt
Filed under: Microcebus murinus (gray mouse lemur)
Lineage: Eukaryota; Metazoa; Chordata; Mammalia; Primates; Cheirogaleidae
Source: RNAcentral
GCUGCAGCAGCACAUACUAAAAUAGGAACGAUACAGAGAAGAUUAGCAUGGCCCCUGCACAAGGAUGACAUGCAAAUUCAUGAAGCGUUCCAUAUUUUU